Molecule: ribosomal RNA, 468 nt
Filed under: uncultured bacterium
Lineage: Bacteria
Description: partial 16S ribosomal RNA
Rfam family: Bacterial small subunit ribosomal RNA
Source: RNAcentral
GACGAACGCUGGCGGCGUGCUUAACACAUGCAAGUCGAACGGAAAGGCCCUGCUUUUGUGGGGUGCUCGAGUGGCGAACGGGUGAGUAACACGUGAGUAACCUGCCCUUGACUUUGGGAUAACUUCAGGAAACUGGGGCUAAUACCGGAUAGGAGCUCCUGCUGCAUGGUGGGGGUUGGAAAGUCUCGGCGGUUGGGGAUGGACUCGCGGCUUAUCAGCUUGUUGGUGAGGUAGUGGCUUACCAAGGCUUUGACGGGUAGCCGACCUGAGAGGGUGACCGGCCACAUUGGGACUGAGAUACGGCCCAGACUCCUACGGGACGCAGCAGUGGGGAAUAUUACACAAUGGGCGGAAGCCUGAUGCAGCAACGCCGCGUGCGGGAUGACGGCCUUCGGGUUGUAAACCGCUUUCGCCUGUGACGAAGCGUGAGUGACGGUAAUGGGUAAAGAAGCACCGGCUAACUACGUG